RNAcentral lists this ribosomal RNA (241 nucleotides) under uncultured bacterium. Its description in RNAcentral is "partial 16S ribosomal RNA". It matches the Rfam family "Bacterial small subunit ribosomal RNA", at positions 118 to 347 of the family's 1533-position model. The record is from RNAcentral.
UGGGUAACCUGCCUCAAAGAGGGGAAUAGCCUCCCGAAAGGGAGAUUAAUACCGCAUAAUAUGUUUAAGUCGCAUGACUUUAACAUCAAAGGAUUUUCUUUUAAGAAAUUCCACUUUGAGAUGGACCCGCGGCGCAUUAGCUAGUUGGUGAGGUAACGGCUCACCAAGGCAACGAUGCGUAGCCGACCUGAGAGGGUGAUCGGCCACAUUGGAACUGAGACACGGUCCAGACUCCUAGGAG